Molecule: transfer RNA, 65 nt
Filed under: Elysia viridis
Lineage: Eukaryota; Metazoa; Mollusca; Gastropoda; Plakobranchidae
Description: tRNA-Trp
Source: RNAcentral
AAGAUUAUAGGUUAAAUUAGACCCUUGGCCUUCAAAGCCGAAAGUGGAGAGUGUACCUGAUCUUG